Molecule: ribosomal RNA, 386 nt
Filed under: unidentified microorganism
Description: bacterial SSU rRNA
Rfam family: Bacterial small subunit ribosomal RNA
Source: RNAcentral
AACCCUUACCUUCAGUUGCUACGCAAGAGCACUCUAAAGGGACUGCCGUUGACAAAACGGAGGAAGGUGGGGAUGACGUCAAAUCAUCAUGCCCCUUAUGACCUGGGCUACACACGUACUACAAUGGCAAUUAACAAAGAGAAGCAAGACGGUGACGUGGAGCGAAUCUCAAAAAAUUGUCCCAGUUCAGAUUGCUUUGCUGCAACUCGCCUGCAUGAAGUCGGAAUUGCUAGUAAUCGCGGAUCAGCAUGCCGCGGUGAAUACGUUCCCGGGCCUUGUACACUCCGCCCGUCACACCCUGGGAGUCGGUCACACCCGAACUCGGUAGUCUUCACAGCAAUGAGGACGCCGCCCAAUGUGCGAUUGAUGACUGGGGUGAAUUCUUA